This is a non-coding RNA of Lipotes vexillifer (Yangtze River dolphin), 575 nucleotides long. Lineage: Eukaryota; Metazoa; Chordata; Mammalia; Artiodactyla; Lipotidae. The record is from RefSeq and is a predicted model, not a curated record.
AUGGCUGCAGCUUGGGUCCUGGUGUUGGUGACUGUGAUGCUGGACUUGGCCAGAGCAGGCCCUGUCCCCACAUCCAAGCCCACCACAACCGGGAAGGGCUGCCACAUGCGCCGGUUCCAAUCUCUGUUGCCAAGGGAGCUGGAGGGCUUCAAGAAAGCCAAGGAUGCCUCAGAAGAGUUGCUCUCGCUGAAGAACUGGAGCUGCAGCUCUCACCGCUUCCCCAGGACCCGGGACCUGAGGCAGCGGCAGGUGUGGGAGCGCCCUGUGGCCUUGGAGGCAGAGUUAGACCUGACGCUGAAGGUCCUGGGUGCUGUGGCAGACUCGUCCUCGGGGGUCAUCCUGGACCAGCUGCUGCACACGCUGCGCCACAUCCACUCCGAGCUUCAGGCUUGCAUCCCGGCUCGGCCCACAGCAGAAUCCCAGCCCCGGGCCGCCUCCACCACUGGCUGUGCCGGCUCCAGGAGGCCACAAAGGAGGAGUCCCAAGGCUGUCUCGAGGCCUCUGUCACAUUCAACCUCUUCUGCCUCCUCAUAAGGGACCUGAGAAUUGUUGCCAGUGGAGACCUGAAUAUCUGA